RNAcentral lists this ribosomal RNA (495 nucleotides) under uncultured bacterium. RNAcentral's name for it is "partial 16S ribosomal RNA". It matches the Rfam family "Bacterial small subunit ribosomal RNA", at positions 29 to 507 of the family's 1533-position model. The record is from RNAcentral.
AUGAACGCUGGCGGCGUGCCUAAUCCAUGCAAGUCGAGCGAACAGACGAGGAGCUUGCUCCUCUGACGUUAGCGGCGGACGGGUGAGUAACACGUGGAUAACCUACCUAUAAGACUGGGAUAACUUCGGGAACCGGAGCUAAUACCGGAUAAUAUAUUGAACCGCAUGGUUCAAUAGUGAAAGACGGUUUUGCUGUCACUUAUAGAUGGAUCCGCGCCGCAUUAGCUAGUUGGUAAGGUAACGGCUUACCAAGGCAACGAUGCGUAGCCGACCUGAGAGGGUGAUCGGCCACACUGGAACUGAGACACGGUCCAGACUCCUACGGGAGGCAGCAGUAGGGAAUCUUCCGCAAUGGGCGAAAGCCUGACGGAGCAACGCCGCGUGAGUGAUGAAGGUCUUCGGAUCGUAAAACUCUGUUAUUAGGGAAGAACAAAUGUGUAAGUAACUAUGCACGUCUUGACGGUACCUAAUCAGAAAGCCACGGCUAACUACGUG